CUGAACCCUGAUAUGGGGUAAAUACCUGAUAAGAAUUAAGAAUCUGAACAAUUUACAGUGGGGUAGCAUACUGGGCAAUUUAUCUAUUGGGGUAUAGCUAUCCCUUCCCUGGAAGAGCCCAUGCCUGUGUGUAUGCUCUGUCGACUUUAGUCAGUUCGCAUCAUGCGUGAGGAAAACUCAUAGGAGUUAUCAGUCACAUGGUCAGGGUAGCCUAUGGGUUCAAUUUUGCAAGUAUAAGUAAAAGAGAAUAUAAAGCAAGAAUUAAACUAAGAAGUAAUGUUGAUGGUUAUGACUUGUUAUUCUGAGUGAUGAAUUUUUUACCUGUUAUUCUCACAUGGUGCCUUUUAGGAGUGUCAGCAGUUGGUUUUUGAAUAAAAGAUAGGUUUUCAGGCUUGGUUUCGCAUUAUGGUCAAGGUAAGUAAAAUCUUUUAUAACCAUAACAU
Neltuma alba is the source of this 443-nucleotide long non-coding RNA. RefSeq lists it as uncharacterized. The transcript is spliced from 3 exons. Lineage: Eukaryota; Viridiplantae; Streptophyta; Magnoliopsida; Fabales; Fabaceae. The record is from RefSeq and is a predicted model, not a curated record.